UCGUCAACCACCUGAGCUCUCUGUAAAAACAUUAGCGAGGAGUGAGACGCUAGCUCCGUGAGUACUAAUAUUUAACCACAACCAUUUUAACGAGGAAAAAGUCAGAAAAUAUGCUAGUGUGAUAAUCAAAAUGAUAAAAUCAAUUCCCUUUCAGAAAACGAUACAAUAUUCAAUCUUAUUUGCCUCGUGUAAGCAAAAUCAAUGUAAACACUUAGUACUAAACUUAGAAAAAUAUUUUCAUAUCAAAUCUUAUAGCUGGGGUUUUCCAAGGAUGGAUUAUGUAAUCAGUGUGGCCUUCUCUUUAAGAAGUAACCAAUAACGGUGAACUCCUCAUAAAGGAGUUAAAUAUUCAUAUCGAUAGAUCCCUACUCAAGGAAAAUCAGUAACGGUAUGCUAGUUCUACCUUCCCACUAGCAAGGGCUUUAUCGAUAAUCUAUCACUACAAGGUGCACCAGGUCUAACGAAUCCGCCGUUAGCUAUGGAAUUCAUCAAGGUCUACUUCCAUUUAUACUUUUCUUGUAAUCAGUAGAAACAUUUUAAAAUGGUAUAAGACAUUCAAGUUCUUAUCAAAUCAUACUAUAUAAAACUUUAAUCAAAAUAUAUGUGAAAAUACUAAUUCUCAAGUAAAUGUUAAACUCUUUCAAUAGCGGCAAUCAUAUGUCAAGUAUCAAUAAAUAUAUCUUAUAAAAAUGAGUUCAUCUCAAAUAACUAUUUUGGUAUCAUAUCAAGUAAAAGACUUAUCCCAUAUGCAAGUUCAAAGCUUUUCGGUAAAUUAUUCUCUUUAUAAAUCAUGUAUAAACCAUGAAAGUUAUAAAACACAAAUUGUGGUAAGACGGUUCUUGUGUUGAAAUACCAAACUUGUCACAUCUAUAAUCACGUCAUAAUAAUCUCGUGUUACUUCCUUCAUUUAGGAUAAUUCAUACUACAUUAAGAUAUGCUGCCCUCGACAUUCCUUGAUUAACUCUCAAUCUGUCAAUUUAUAUCUAGUUUGUACUUCAGAUCACGGAAAACAGCCUCAUUGAUGAUUAUUUCACACUAUAAUAAACAAAACUAACCUCACUGUAAAUCAACUCUUCUUUGGUUUAUGACAAACUAUAAAAAAUUAUCCAAUCAUUUAACGUACUUAGUCAAAUCAUAAUAAUUGAAUAGACUCCUCUAUCUUUUUUACCCUUAUUUCUCUAACUUACAAUCCCAAUUCGAUAGUCAUGAAUCUACGAAUUUAAAUAUAUAACUAAGUUUAUAAACUUACUUGAUUUUCUCCUUCUCUCUUUGCUUAACAGCCUUAGGCGAUUGAUUCUUUUUCCUUCAUAUCGUUGCUUCAUCGGAAAGAGAGGCUGAACCACAUUUCUGUUCUCUCUUUUUGCUUUUAAGAAUUGCUGACCAGCGUACUUCCCCUCGAAACUCUUUAUCUGGGCCCUUUGCCUUUCUUUCUGCGUAUGUCCCCUCUCCUUUUCAAGCUUCCUCUCUUUCUCCAUUAAAAUUUUCUUCUUUUUGAUUGAUUCACGCAAUGAACCCAUAUCCUUAAUCCCCAUUUUUUUUCUUUGUACUGAAGGUGGCAG
RNAcentral lists this long non-coding RNA (1559 nucleotides) under Solanum tuberosum (potato). Its description in RNAcentral is "long non-coding RNA (STUB_LNC000454)". The record is from RNAcentral. Lineage: Eukaryota; Viridiplantae; Streptophyta; Magnoliopsida; Solanales; Solanaceae.